This 538-nucleotide ribosomal RNA is filed under the name Francisella tularensis. RNAcentral's name for it is "partial 23S ribosomal RNA". It matches the Rfam family "Bacterial large subunit ribosomal RNA", at positions 366 to 901 of the family's 2925-position model. The record is from RNAcentral. Lineage: Bacteria; Pseudomonadati; Pseudomonadota; Gammaproteobacteria; Thiotrichales; Francisellaceae.
GAUAGUCCCGUAUACGAAAUAAUCACAGUGGAACUAAGCAUACGAACAAGUAGGACGGGGCACGUGGAACCUUGUCUGAAUAUGGGGGGACCAUCCUCCAAGGCUAAAUACUCCUGAAUGACCGAUAGUGAACUAGUACCGUGAGGGAAAGGUGAAAAGAACCCUUAUAAAGGGAGUGAAAUAGAAUCUGAAACCGCUUGCAUACAAGCAGUAGGAGCAUGAUUUAGUCAUGUGACUGCGUACCUUUUGUAUAAUGGGUCAGCGAGUUAUUUUUAGUGGCGAGGAUAACUGAAUAAGGGAUCCGUAGCGAAAGCGAGUUUUAAUAGGGCGACUAGUCGCUAGGAGUAGACCCGAAACCGGCGCGAUCUAUCCAUGGCCAGGUUGAAGAUUAGGUAGUACUAAUUGGAGGACCGAACCCAAUACUGUUGCAAAAGUAUGGGAUGAGCUGUGGAUCGGAGUGAAAGGCUAAUCAAGCACGGAGAUAGCUGGUUCUCCCCGAAAACUAUUUAGGUAGUGCCUCGUGUAUAACUCAUUGGGG